RNAcentral lists this unclassified non-coding RNA (217 nucleotides) under uncultured fungus. Its description in RNAcentral is "sequence contains ITS1, 5.8S rRNA gene". The stretch from base 169 to 217 matches the Rfam family "5.8S ribosomal RNA", at positions 1 to 49 of the family's 154-position model. Lineage: Eukaryota; Fungi. The record is from RNAcentral.
UUUCCGUAGGUGAACCUGCGGAAGGAUCAUUAUUGAAUCUUAGGAUGCUCUCUUUAGAGGUCCGAAUAAUUCAUUAUUCACCCUGUGAACAAACAUCUUUUUAACACCCCUUUUAUAAACACUAUGUAAUAUGAAUGUCUAAUACUCUUGAUUGAGUUUAAAUUGUAAAACUUUCGGCAACGGAUCUCUUGGCUCCCGCAUCGAUGAAGAACGCAGC